ACGUAGGGCGCGAGCGUUGUCCGGAUUUAUUGGGCGUAAAGAGCUCGUAGGCGGCUUGUCGCGUCGUCCGUGAAAACCCACAGCUCAACUGUGGGCUUGCGGUCGAUACGGGCAGGCUGGAGUUCGGUAGGGGAGACUGGAAUUCCUGGUGUAGCGGUGAAAUGCGCAGAUAUCAGGAGGAACACCAGUGGCGAAGGCGACUCUCUGG
Molecule: ribosomal RNA, 208 nt
Filed under: uncultured prokaryote
Description: partial 16S ribosomal RNA
Rfam family: Bacterial small subunit ribosomal RNA
Source: RNAcentral